This 490-nucleotide ribosomal RNA is filed under the name uncultured bacterium. RNAcentral describes it as "partial 16S ribosomal RNA". It matches the Rfam family "Bacterial small subunit ribosomal RNA", at positions 30 to 507 of the family's 1533-position model. The record is from RNAcentral.
AUUGAACGCUGGCGGCAGGCCUAACACAUGCAAGUCGAACGGUAACAGGAAGCAGCUUGCUGCUUCGCUGACGAGUGGCGGACGGGUGAGUAAUGUCUGGGAAGCUGCCUGAUGGAGGGGGAUAACUACUGGAAACGGUAGCUAAUACCGCAUAAUGUCGCAAGACCAAAGAGGGGGACCUUCGGGCCUCUUGCCAUCGGAUGUGCCCAGAUGGGAUUAGCUUGUUGGUGGGGUAACGGCUCACCAAGGCGACGAUCCCUAGCUGGUCUGAGAGGAUGACCAGCCACACUGGAACUGAGACACGGUCCAGACUCCUACGGGAGGCAUCAGUGGGGAAUAUUGCACAAUGGGCGCAAGCCUGAUGCAGCCAUGCCGCGUGUAUGAAGAAGGCCUUCGGGUUGUAAAGUACUUUCAGCGGGGGGGAAGGGAGUAAAGUUAAUACCUUUGCUCAUUGACGUUACCCGCAGAAGAAGCACCGGCUAACUCCGUG